RNAcentral lists this long non-coding RNA (441 nucleotides) under Olea europaea (common olive). RNAcentral describes it as "long non-coding RNA (OEUR_LNC000205)". The record is from RNAcentral. Lineage: Eukaryota; Viridiplantae; Streptophyta; Magnoliopsida; Lamiales; Oleaceae.
CACGGCACUCACCAGGCAUUGCGAAGGCUGGAGGCUACUAGUCGUAAGUCGAGCUCGAAUAUUUUAAUUUCUAAGAUCACUGGUCCAUUGACCACUAGAACAGGAAUCUCAGAAUAGAGGAACGACAAUCGGCAAACACAUCAUUGGCGGCGCGGUCUCAGCUUCAGAACGAAAUGCCGAAUGAGAAUGGAAUUAGGAAAGGAGGAAAUGGGUUUGCAUCAAGCUUUCAGCUUCUGAGAAUGAGAAAUUGGGGAUUGAUUUCACGAUUUGGACAUUUGGAGUUUGGACCAUUGUUGAUUUGGGGGAAGGUGAAUUGGUUGGGCCUAAUGAGUCGACGACAAUGUCAAUUCAUGCAUCAGCCAAACAAAAUAAAUAAAUAAAAUGGGUUGUCUUCUUCUUUCCAUCUUCAUUCAGAUUCUUCCUGCUUCCAUCUCGCACGAC